GCUAGCAGUAGGUCCAGAUACAAGUUAAUCAAAUUUGAUUAGAACCUUUCUAAUGAUUUAGGUCCGAAACAAGCUAACUUGAAUUCAGCAAUUAGAAUCCUGUCUAAUUAGUGAUCGAAUUAAACCUUUAAUUUGAUCAAACUCAUAAGUCAGUUUGAUAUCUAGCAACAUAUCAUGACUACCUAGAAGAUGUAAAAUUUGAUAAAAAAAUCAAAUAUGCCCUUCAGUGGUAAGUUACUGUGUAAUCUAGUCCUUUGA
Molecule: long non-coding RNA, 258 nt
Filed under: Elaeis guineensis (African oil palm)
Lineage: Eukaryota; Viridiplantae; Streptophyta; Magnoliopsida; Arecales; Arecaceae
Description: long non-coding RNA (EGUI_LNC035880)
Source: RNAcentral